Molecule: long non-coding RNA, 359 nt
Filed under: Gossypium barbadense (sea-island cotton)
Lineage: Eukaryota; Viridiplantae; Streptophyta; Magnoliopsida; Malvales; Malvaceae
Description: long non-coding RNA (GBAR_LNC007983)
Source: RNAcentral
CAUCUUGACAAGACUAUCUACAAAUGUAUUACCUUCUCGGGGAAUAUGUUGGAUCUUCUACUGCUUUAUCGUCAACAGGGCUUGACGUAUUCUUCUAACUAGAGUAGAAUUAGAGAUUCCAACUGAACCAUCUUGAAUGGUCGUAGCUACUUCAAGACUAUCCGUUUGAAUUAAGAUCCUUUUGACUCUCCUAUCUGAAAUAAGCUUCAACUGAUCUAAAAUACCUCAAAGCUCUGCUUCUGUCACUGUACAAUUUCCUAAGUAUCUGUAAAACCCAAUGAUCUAUUUACCAUUCUAGUCACGCACUAAUCCCCAGCUGUAGCAAAACCUUCAUCCUGCCUAACUAAACCAUCCGUAUU